CCUACGGGAGGCAGCAGUGAGGAAUAUUGGUCAAUGGCCGGAAGGCUGAACCAGCCAAGCCGCGUGAAGGACGAAGGUGCCAAGCAUUGUAAACUUCUUUUGUCAAGGGACAAAAUCAGGCUCGAGAGCCUGAACGAGGGUACUUGAAGAAAAAGCAUCGGCUAAAUCCGUGCCAGCAGCCGCGGUAAUACGGAGGAUGCGAGCGUUAUCGGGGUUUAUUGGGGUUAAAGGGUGCGUAGGCGGACGGUUAAGUCAGCGGUAAAAGCCCGGGGCUCAACCCCGGCGAGCCGUUGAAACUGGCCGUCUUGAGAUGUCGAGAGGUAUGCGGAAUGCGCAGUGUAGCGGUGAAAUGCGUAGAUAUUGCGCAGAACUCCGAUUGCGAAGGCAGCAUACCGGCGGCGAUCUGACGCUGAGGCACGAAAGCGUGGGUAUCGAACAGGAUUAGAUACCCCAGUAGUC
Molecule: ribosomal RNA, 459 nt
Filed under: uncultured bacterium
Lineage: Bacteria
Description: partial 16S ribosomal RNA
Rfam family: Bacterial small subunit ribosomal RNA
Source: RNAcentral